RNAcentral lists this ribosomal RNA (655 nucleotides) under uncultured Comamonas sp. Its description in RNAcentral is "bacterial SSU rRNA". It matches the Rfam family "Bacterial small subunit ribosomal RNA", at positions 67 to 719 of the family's 1533-position model. The record is from RNAcentral. Lineage: Bacteria; Pseudomonadati; Pseudomonadota; Betaproteobacteria; Burkholderiales; Comamonadaceae.
CGGUAACAGGUCUUCGGAUGCUGACGAGUGGCGAACGGGUGAGUAAUACAUCGGAACGUGCCUAGUAGUGGGGGAUAACUACUCGAAAGAGUAGCUAAUACCGCAUGAGAUCUACGGAUGAAAGCAGGGGACCUUCGGGCCUUGUGCUACUAGAGCGGCUGAUGGCAGAUUAGGUAGUUGGUGGGGUAAAGGCUUACCAAGCCUGCGAUCUGUAGCUGGUCUGAGAGGACGACCAGCCACACUGGGACUGAGACACGGCCCAGACUCCUACGGGAGGCAGCAGUGGGGAAUUUUGGACAAUGGGCGAAAGCCUGAUCCAGCAAUGCCGCGUGCAGGAUGAAGGCCCUCGGGUUGUAAACUGCUUUUGUACGGAACGAAAAGCCUGGGGCUAAUAUCCCCGGGUCAUGACGGUACCGUAAGAAUAAGCACCGGCUAACUACGUGCCAGCAGCCGCGGUAAUACGUAGGGUGCAAGCGUUAAUCGGAAUUACUGGGCGUAAAGCGUGCGCAGGCGGUUUUGUAAGACAGUGGUGAAAUCCCCGGGCUCAACCUGGGAACUGCCAUUGUGACUGCAAGGCUAGAGUGCGGCAGAGGGGGAUGGAAUUCCGCGUGUAGCAGUGAAAUGCGUAGAUAUGCGGAGGAACACCGAUGGCGAA